Molecule: long non-coding RNA, 1232 nt
Filed under: Heterocephalus glaber (naked mole-rat)
Lineage: Eukaryota; Metazoa; Chordata; Mammalia; Rodentia; Bathyergidae
Description: lncRNA (ENSHGLG00000034549.1)
Source: RNAcentral
GUCCCAGAGGUAUCCAAACUAAAAUCUCUGGCAGGUGGUGAUACUGGUGGGUCUAUCUCUUGUGUCUUUAGGUUUGUCUUGGGACCAGACAUAAGGUGGCUCAACAUCAGACCCUUGCCGUGAACAGCUCACGAUCCCAACCACUGGCAAAUUACUGCUUUGGUUGCAAUGGAUGGUCCAAAAGGGUAAUCGAGGACUGUUGUCAUUCCUCAUGAAAAGGAAGAUGGCCCAGAAGCCUGCUCUUUGGAUGGUUUUGUCAGAUGUACUCCAGAAACUGUCAGUUGUGGUUUAGAAGAAAUUCUUCCCGUAAGAGAAGAGGACUACAUAACAUGUGUGAAGAUAAUCCAGAAAUGGUCUCUUCUAUGUGUGUUCCUGCCUCUGAAGACUUUCCAGUGGGACCGAUAGAGGUGGAAACCAGUGAUAGUGAUGAACCUGGCCAUACACUCUUGAGGGUUUCCAGCAUCACUUUUCUGUAGAGAUUCUUCUUGAAAGGAUCAAGCAAAGACCACUCCUCCUGAGUGAUGUUCAAAGCCAGAUCCUCAAAGGCCACUGACACCUAACACACUCCGCUUCCCGACUCCUGUAGUUCUCCUGGCAUCCUCCCUACAGCUCCUGCAGCCAAUGGAAGUCACAGUGCCACUAAGUGGUCUGCAUCCCACCGGGCCUUGGACACCUUGACUUCUUGCUGCUCCCUGAGAAGCUUCAUCAGGAGGCCCGUUUUGGAGAUGGGCUUGGCACAGGGCAGUUGCACAUGGGCCUCAUUCAGAGCAGUCCAUUUUUAAACACCAGAUGACUUCGGAAAUCAGCCUUCUUAUGUCAUUGGACAUAAUGGCUGGAGUUACUGGUUUAGGGUGCUUUCUAAGGAAGGUUCUGAAUGAGCAUGUAAUUCUGAGACACGAUUCUGCUGAAAACGCAAGUCUCUUGAAGAUGAGAACUGUUGUGAAGGGGAACUGAUGAGACUCCUCGCUGCCAAAACAGAGGCCUCCUCGCAAGCAUUGGUCCGCUGCAUGUAUUUUCCUUUCUCAACUUUUCACUCAGUUUGGCCUUGGGUGUUCCGUGGGCCAUAAGAGAAUGCGUUUUAUGAAAGCAGUGAUUUGGGGGGGCGGGUAAGAUUGGUUUAGUACACUUCAUAGUUUUCGCUCUGGCAUAUGCAUCUUCUAACAUCAACACACUGUAGACAAAGUAAUUUGCCCUGUUUCUCACCUUAGGCAGGGCUUUGGCAGGGAUGGAGG